UACGAAGGGGGCUAGCGUUGUUCGGAUUUACUGGGCGUAAAGCGCACGUAGGCGGUUUGUUAAGUCAGGGGUGAAAUCCCAGAGCUCAACUCUGGAACUGCCUUCGAUACUGGAAGUCUUGAGUCCGGGAGAGGUGAGUGGAACUCCGAGUGUAGAGGUGAAAUUCGUAGAUAUUCGGAAGAACACCAGUGGCGAAGGCGGCUCACUGGCCCGGUACUGACGCUGAGAUACGAAAGCGUGGGGAGCAAACAGG
This 253-nucleotide ribosomal RNA is filed under the name uncultured bacterium. RNAcentral's name for it is "partial 16S ribosomal RNA". It matches the Rfam family "Bacterial small subunit ribosomal RNA", at positions 524 to 776 of the family's 1533-position model. The record is from RNAcentral.